RNAcentral lists this unclassified non-coding RNA (167 nucleotides) under soil metagenome. RNAcentral describes it as "partial internal transcribed spacer 1". The record is from RNAcentral.
GUGAAUUAAACAUGCUUGGUGUCCUUCGCUUCGGCAAGGCCCUUGCUUAAAUCACAUCCUAACACCUGUGAACUGUAAGACGUAUGAUGAGGUCUUUGGCCAAGUCAUCGUCUGCCCAUUUUUAACAAACAAUUAAUGUAACAAACGUAGUCUUAUUAUAACCUAAU